This 253-nucleotide ribosomal RNA is filed under the name uncultured bacterium. RNAcentral's name for it is "partial 16S ribosomal RNA". It matches the Rfam family "Bacterial small subunit ribosomal RNA", at positions 524 to 776 of the family's 1533-position model. The record is from RNAcentral.
UACGUAGGUGGCGAGCGUUAUCCGGAAUGAUUGGGUGUAAAGGGCGUGCAGCCGGAGAGACAAGUCAGAUGUGAAAUCCACGGGCUCAACCCGUGAACUGCAUUUGAAACUGUUUCCCUUGAGUGUCGGAGAGGUAAUCGGAAUUCCUUGUGUAGCGGUGAAAUGCGUAGAUAUAAGGAAGAACACCAGUGGCGAAGGCGGAUUACUGGACGAUAACUGACGGUGAGGCGCGAAAGCGUGGGGAGCAAACAGG